Molecule: ribosomal RNA, 244 nt
Filed under: uncultured bacterium
Lineage: Bacteria
Description: partial 16S ribosomal RNA
Rfam family: Bacterial small subunit ribosomal RNA
Source: RNAcentral
UGGCGACCGGCGCACGGGUGAGUAACGCGUAUGCAACCUGCCUGAUACCGGGGUAUAGCCCAUGGAAACGUGGAUUAACACCCCAUAGUACUUUUAUCCUGCAUGGGAUGUGAGUUAAAUGUUCAAGGUAUCGGAUGGGCAUGCGUCCUAUUAGUUAGUUGGCGGGGUAACAGCCCACCAAGACGAUGAUAGGUAGGGGUUCCGAGAGGAAGGUCCCCCACAUUGGAACUGAGACACGGUCCAA